UACGGGAGCAGCAGUGGGGAAUAUUGCACAAUGGGCGCAAGCCUGAUGCAGCCAUGCCGCGUGUAUGAAAAAGGCCUUCGGGUUGUAAAGUACUUUCAGUCGUGAGGAAGGUGUUAAGGUUAAUAACCUUAGCAAUUGACGUUAGCGACAGAAGAAGCACCGGCUAACUCCGUGCCAGCAGCCGCGGUAAUACGGAGGGUGCGAGCGUUAAUCGGAAUUACUGGGCGUAAAGGGCACGCAGGCGGUUAAUUAAGUUGGAUGUGAAAUCCCCGGGCUUAACCUGGGAAUGGCAUUCAAGACUGGUUAGCUAGAGUCUUGUAGAGGGGGUUAGAAUUCCAUGUGUAGCGGUGAAAUGCGUAGAGAUGUGGAGGAAUACCGGUGGCGAAGGCGGCCCCUGGACAAAGACUGACGCUCAUGUGCGAAAGCGUGGGGAGCAACAGGGAUUAGAUACCCGU
This 455-nucleotide ribosomal RNA is filed under the name uncultured bacterium. Its description in RNAcentral is "bacterial SSU rRNA". It matches the Rfam family "Bacterial small subunit ribosomal RNA", at positions 340 to 789 of the family's 1533-position model. The record is from RNAcentral.